AGGGAAAGAGGGAGGGAGGAGGAAAAUAGGAAAGUAGAACGGAAGCACAGUAAGAGCUUGGUCUUACGGGUGGCGAGUGGCGGACGGGUGAGGAAUACAUCGGAACCUACUUUUUCGUGGGGGAUAACGUAGGGAAACUUACGCUAAUACCGCAUACGACCUACGGGUGAAAGCACGGGAUCUUCGGACCUUGCGCGAUUUAAUUCGCCGAUGUGGGAUUAGCUAGUUGGCGGGGUAAAGGCCCACCAAGGAGACUAUCCGUAGCUGGUCUGAGAGGAUGAUCAGCCACACUGGAACUGAGACACGGUCCAGACUCCUACGGGAGGCAGCAGUGGGGAAUAUUGGGCAAUGGGGGCGAGCCUGAUCCAGCAAUACCGCGUGGGUGAAGAAGGCCUUCGGGUUGUAAAGCCCUUUUGUUGGGAGAGAAAAGCAGCAGGUUAAUACGCAGAUGUUCUGACGGUACCGAAAGAAUAAGCACCGGCUAACUUCGUA
This 492-nucleotide ribosomal RNA is filed under the name uncultured bacterium. RNAcentral's name for it is "partial 16S ribosomal RNA". It matches the Rfam family "Bacterial small subunit ribosomal RNA", at positions 38 to 507 of the family's 1533-position model. The record is from RNAcentral.